Molecule: ribosomal RNA, 1380 nt
Filed under: Stylosomus rugithorax
Lineage: Eukaryota; Metazoa; Arthropoda; Insecta; Coleoptera; Chrysomelidae
Description: 16S ribosomal RNA
Rfam family: Bacterial large subunit ribosomal RNA (bases 875-1249)
Source: RNAcentral
GAUUUCAAUUUAACUUGAGAGUAUAGUUAUUACUAAUAUUUGAGGUGGGGUUAAUUUUAACUUAAGAAUAUAAAUUUUAUUAAUUUUUUUGAAAAAGUUGAUUGUUAGUGAUAGGUUAAUAGUGCUGUGAAGGAAAAAAUUUUACUAUAAUAAAGAAGAAUUAAUUAUUUGUACCUUGUGUAUCAGGGUUGACUAAAUUUAUUUACAUGUAAAGUGUUAAUCCCGAAUUUAAAAGAGUUAGCUUUAUAUUUUCUUAGUGUUUCAUAAUUAUUAUAAAUUUAGGGCUAGCAGUGAAAUGUUAUUCGCUUUUAAAGAUAUCUGGUUUAUUGAGAAAUUAAUUGAAUUAAUUUAUCUUGAAAUAUAAAUUUUAUUAUAUAAUUUUGUAUUAUGGUUAGAAAAGAUUAUUAGGGAAAAGCUUAAUAAUUAAUGAUUAUUUAUUUAUUAAAUUUACUAGACUUAUUUAUGGGAUUGAAGGUUUCUAUUAUUAUUAGUGUGUUAUAACUAGUUUCAGGGGAGUUUAAUAUUUUUAUGUAUAAUAAUUGUUUUAUCAAUAUUUCUGGUAGAAUGGUGUUACUGUUGUAAUAAUGGUUGAAUUAGUAUAUAAAUUUAUAUAUUUACAUUUUUUAUAUAGAUAUAGGAAAGGAACUCGGCAAUUUAUCUUUUCACCUGUUUAUUAAAAACAUGUCUUCAUGGUAAUGAUGUGAAGUCGGCCCUGCCCAAUGAUUGUUUAAAUGGCCGCAGUAUUUUGACUGUGCAAAGGUAGCAUAAUCAUUUGCCUCUUAAUUAGGGGCUGGAAUGAAGGGGUUGAUGAAAAAGGUUCUGUCUCUUUUAUAUAAUUAGAAGUUUAUUUUUAAGUUAAAAAGCUUAAAUAUUUUUAAAAGACGAGAAGACCCUAUAGAGUUUUAUAUAUCUUGGGAUUUUAUUUUAAGGGUAUAUAUUUAAUAAUAUUUUCAAGGAAUAUUUAGUUGGGGUGACUAUGAAAUGUGCUUAACUUUCAUUGAUUUUUAAUAUUUAUGAAUAGAUAAUAUUUAAAUGAUCCAAUCAUUGUUGAUUAUUAGAUAAAAUUACCUUAGGGAUAACAGCGUAAUUUUUUUUUAGAGUUCUUAUCGAUAAAAGAGAUUGCGACCUCGAUGUUGGAUUAAAAUUAAUACUUAGGGGUAGAUUCUAAGUUAUUAGGUCUGUUCGACCUUUAAAAUUUUACAUGAUCUGAGUUUAGACCGGCGUGAGCCAGGUUGGUUUCUAUCUUUAAAGAAUUAAGAAGUUUUAGUACGAAAGGACCAAGCUUUUGAUUAAUAAUUUGAUUUAUUGAAUAUUAAUGUUAUUUUGGCAGAAUAGUGCAAUAGAUUUAGAAUCUUUAUAUAUAAUUUAAGUUAUAAAUAA